UCCACAGUUAGACAAACUGUCUAUAAAUGGAGAUGAUAUAGUACUAUAGGUACUCUCUCUAGAAGUGGCCGUUAGAUAUUCAUCUGUCCACAGUGAGACAAACUGUCUAUAAAUGGAGAUGAUUUAGUACUAUAGGUACUCUCACUAGAAGUGGCCGUUAGAUAUUCAUCCGUCCACAGUGAGACAAACUGUCUAUAAAUGGAGAUGAUUUAGUACUAUAGGUACUCUCACUAGAAGUGGCCGUUAGAUAUUCAUCUGUCCACAGUUAGACAAACUGUCUAUAAAUGGAGAUGAUUUAGUACUAUAGGUACUCUCACUAGAAGUGGCCGUUAGAUAUUCAUCUGUUCACAGUUAGACAAACUGUCUAUAAAUGGAGAUGAUUUAGUACUAUAGGUACUCUCACUAGAAGUGGCCGUUAGAUAUUCAUCUGUCCACAGUUAGACAAACUGUCUAUAAAUGGAGAUGAUUUAGUACUAUAGGUACUCUCACUAGAAGUGGCCGUUAGAUAUUCAUCUGUUCACAGUUAGACAAACUGUCUAUAAAUGGAGAUGAUUUAGUACUAUAGGUACUCUCACUAGAAGUGGCCGUUAGAUAUUCAUCUGUUCACAGUUAGACAAACUGUCUAUAAAUGGAGAUGAUUUAGUACUAUAGG
Molecule: long non-coding RNA, 652 nt
Organism: Xyrauchen texanus (razorback sucker)
Lineage: Eukaryota; Metazoa; Chordata; Actinopteri; Cypriniformes; Catostomidae
Exons: 4
Source: RefSeq, a predicted model, not a curated record